This 74-nucleotide transfer RNA is filed under the name Alphaproteobacteria bacterium CG11_big_fil_rev_8_21_14_0_20_44_7. Its description in RNAcentral is "tRNA-Gln". It matches the Rfam family "tRNA". From Rfam's summary of the family: Transfer RNA (tRNA) molecules are approximately 80 nucleotides in length. Their secondary structure includes four short double-helical elements and three loops (D, anti-codon, and T loops). Further hydrogen bonds mediate the characteristic L-shaped molecular structure. tRNAs have two regions of fundamental functional importance: the anti-codon, which is responsible for specific mRNA codon recognition, and the 3' end, to which the tRNAs corresponding amino acid is attached (by aminoacyl-tRNA synthetases). tRNAs cope with the degeneracy of the genetic code in two manners: having more than one tRNA (with a specific anti-codon) for a particular amino acid; and 'wobble' base-pairing, i.e. permitting non-standard base-pairing at the 3rd anti-codon position. The record is from RNAcentral. Lineage: Bacteria; Pseudomonadati; Pseudomonadota; Alphaproteobacteria.
UGGGGUAUAGCCAAGCGGUAAGGCACCGGUUUUUGGUAUCGGCAUCCCAGGUUCGAAUCCUGGUACCCCAGCCA